GUGUGCUGUAGGGCCUAUCGCUCGUCGGUACUGGUGGAAGUGGUGGCUGCAAACUGUAUCUGUCGUUCAGGGCAGCUCUGUAUGUAGCUGAUUUAAAAGAAAUUAUUUGAAAGCUGAUCAACAAGUGAACAAGUUGUUAACCAGCUGUAAACAGGAUUCGAAACUAAGGAGGAGAGAGAAAGAGGAUAUUACAAAAAUGGAUUCGACUUCUAUGCCUCUUCCUCCUAAUCUAUCAAUUGAGCGUACUGUUGAUGAUGUAAUAAGUACUGCCGGUACUGCUGGUAUCCAGUUAGACCCCUCCUCAUCUCGUCCUGUCCAGCUGAUACAUUUUGGUGAUGGUGUUUCAGAUAGUGAGUUACAGCUGAUUGAAAUGCCUAACGACUUAUUGGAAGAAAUGAAAACCGGAAAGA
Amphimedon queenslandica is the source of this 410-nucleotide long non-coding RNA. RefSeq lists it as uncharacterized. Lineage: Eukaryota; Metazoa; Porifera; Demospongiae; Haplosclerida; Niphatidae. The transcript has 3 exons. The record is from RefSeq and is a predicted model, not a curated record.